CUUCCUUGAGUAUGCUCUGAGUACCUGGCUGUGGAAGGAAGAAUGGAAAUUAUAAUAACAAAAUCUUAAUUCUAAUAGAAUACUAACAAUGCUCUAAUGAAACCAUAAUAAUACUAAGCAAGCUUAAUCAAAUUCAAAAAAAACCUCAAAGAAAUUUCAAACAAACAAUAAGAAUUCUUAAAGAAAUAUUAGAAAGUUUAUAAAUAUCACUCAAAUACAUCUCAAUUUAAUCUUAAUUUAGUUCUAGUUAAAAUCCUAUUGAACUUCAUUCAAACUUUAGGCCAAAAAUAAUUAAAACUUAAAUCCUAAUAAAAUCUUAAAUCCUAAAUCAAACCCUAAAUAAACCUUAAAUCAAACCUCAACCAAAUCCUAAAUCAAAUCCAUCCAAACCUUAAACCAAAUCCUAAACCCUAAAUCAAAUACUAACAAAGUCCUCAUCCAAAUCUUAAAUCCUAAACCAAAUCCUAAUUAAAACCCUAAAUCCUAAAUCAAAUCCUAACCAAAUCCUAAACUAUAAAUAAAACCCUAAUCAAAUUCUAAACCAAAUUCUAACCCCUAAACCAAAUCCUAAUCCAAAUCCUAAAUCCUAAACCAAAUCCUAAUAAAAAUCUAAACCCUAAAUUGAACCCUAAUCCAAAUCCUAAACCCUAAAUCAAAUCCUAAUCAAAUCC
RNAcentral lists this long non-coding RNA (671 nucleotides) under Physcomitrium patens. RNAcentral describes it as "long non-coding RNA (PPAT_LNC005744)". The record is from RNAcentral. Lineage: Eukaryota; Viridiplantae; Streptophyta; Bryopsida; Funariales; Funariaceae.